UUUUAUUUGAGAGUUUGAUCCUGGCUCAGGAUGAACGCUGGCGGCGUGCCUAACACAUGCAAGUUGGGCGAUUUACUUCGGUAAAGAGCGGCGGACGGGUGAGUAACGCGUGGGUAACCUACCCUGUACACACGGAUAACAUACCGAAAGGUAUGCUAAUACGGGAUAAUAUAUUUGAGAGGCAUCUCUU
RNAcentral lists this ribosomal RNA (190 nucleotides) under Clostridioides difficile. RNAcentral's name for it is "partial 16S ribosomal RNA". It matches the Rfam family "Bacterial small subunit ribosomal RNA", at positions 1 to 197 of the family's 1533-position model. The record is from RNAcentral. Lineage: Bacteria; Bacillati; Bacillota; Clostridia; Peptostreptococcales; Peptostreptococcaceae.